UCAAGCUACAAAGAGCUUAUGGUGGAUACCUAGG
RNAcentral lists this ribosomal RNA (34 nucleotides) under Wilmottia murrayi KGI28. RNAcentral describes it as "partial 23S ribosomal RNA". Lineage: Bacteria; Bacillati; Cyanobacteriota; Cyanophyceae; Coleofasciculales; Wilmottiaceae. The record is from RNAcentral.